AACGAACGCUGGCGGCAGGCCUAAAACAUGCAAGUCGAACGGGUGUAGCAAUACAUCAGUGGCGCACGGGUGAGUAACGCGUGGGAACGUGCCCUUCAGUACGGGACAACGUCGGGAAACUGACGCUAAUACCGUAUAAUAUCUCCGGAUCAAAGAUUUAUCGCUGAAGGAGCGGCCCGCGUCUGAUUAGCUAGUUGGUGGGGUAAUGGCCUACCAAGGCUACGAUCAGUAGCUGGUCUGAGAGGAUGAUCAGCCACACUGGGACUGAGACACGGCCCAGACUCCUACGGGAGGCAGCAGUUAGGAAUAUUGGACAAUGGGCGAAAGCCUGAUCCAGCCAUGCCGCGUGUGUGAUGAAGGCCCUAGGGUUGUAAAGCACUUUCGUUGGGGAUGAUAAUGACCGUACCCAAACGAAGAAGCCACGGCUAAUUACGUUGCCAGCAGCCG
RNAcentral lists this ribosomal RNA (447 nucleotides) under uncultured bacterium. RNAcentral's name for it is "bacterial SSU rRNA". It matches the Rfam family "Bacterial small subunit ribosomal RNA", at positions 29 to 517 of the family's 1533-position model. The record is from RNAcentral.